Molecule: ribosomal RNA, 489 nt
Filed under: uncultured bacterium
Lineage: Bacteria
Description: partial 16S ribosomal RNA
Rfam family: Bacterial small subunit ribosomal RNA
Source: RNAcentral
AUUGAACGCUGGCGGCAUGCCUUACACAUGCCAGUCGAACGGCAGCAUGAUCUAGCUUGCUAGAUUGAUGGCGAGUGGCGAACGGGUGAGUAAUACAUCGGAACGUGCCCUGUAGUGGGGGAUAACUAGUCGAAAGAUUAGCUAAUACCGCAUACGACCUGAGGGUGAAAGUGGGGGACCGCAAGGCCUCAUGCUAUAGGAGCGGCCGAUGUCUGAUUAGCUAGUUGGUGAGGUAAAGGCUCACCAAGGCGACGAUCAGUAGCUGGUCUGAGAGGACGAUCGCCCACACUGGGAAUGAGAAACGGCCCAGACUCCUACGGGAGGCAGCAGGGGGGAAUUUGGGAAAAGGGGCGAAAGCGUGAUCCAGCAAGGCCGGGUGUGUGAAGAGGGCCUUCGGGUUGUAAAGCCCUUUUGUCCGGAAAGAAAGGGCUCUGGUUAAAACCUGGGGUCGGUGACGGUACCGGAAGAAUAAGGACCGGCUAACUACGG